AGAGCGAACGCUGGCGGCAGGCCUAACACAUGCAAGUCGAGCGCCCGUAGCAAUACGGGAGCGGCAGACGGGAUAGUAACACGUGGGAACGCGCCCUUCGGUUCGGAAUAACUCAGGGAAACUUGAGCUAAUACCGAAUACGCCCUUACGGGGAAAGAUUUAUUGCCGAAGGAACGGCCCGCGUCCGAUUAGCUAGUUGGUGAGGUAAUGGCUCACCAAGGCUACGAUCGGUAGCUGGUCUGAGAGGAUGACCAGCAUCACUGGGACUGAGACACGGCCCAGACUCCUACGGGAGGCAGCAGUGGGGAAUAUUGGACAAUGGGCGCAAGCCUGAUCCAGCCAUGCCGCGUGGAUGAUGAAGGCCUUAGGGUUGUAAAGUCCUUUAACGGGAAGAUAAUGACGGUACCGUAGAAUAAGCCCCGGCUAACUUCGUGCCAGCAGCCGC
Molecule: ribosomal RNA, 445 nt
Filed under: uncultured bacterium
Lineage: Bacteria
Description: SSU rRNA
Rfam family: Bacterial small subunit ribosomal RNA
Source: RNAcentral